This 1000-nucleotide ribosomal RNA is filed under the name Leuconostoc mesenteroides. Its description in RNAcentral is "bacterial SSU rRNA". It matches the Rfam family "Bacterial small subunit ribosomal RNA", at positions 363 to 1355 of the family's 1533-position model. The record is from RNAcentral. Lineage: Bacteria; Bacillati; Bacillota; Bacilli; Lactobacillales; Lactobacillaceae.
UUCCCCAAAUGGCGAAAACCCUGAUGGAGCAACCCCGCUUUUGUGAUGAAGGCUUUCGGGUCGUAAAGCACUGUUGUAUGGGAAGAACAGCUAGAAUAGGAAAUGAUUUUAGUUUGACGGUACCAUACCAGAAAGGGACGGCUAAAUACGUGCCAGCAGCCGCGGUAAUACGUAUGUCCCGAGCGUUAUCCGGAUUUAUUGGGCGUAAAGCGAGCGCAGACGGUUUAUUAAGUCUGAUGUGAAAGCCCGGAGCUCAACUCCGGAAUGGCAUUGGAAACUGGUUAACUUGAGUGCAGUAGAGGUAAGUGGAACUCCAUGUGUAGCGGUGGAAUGCGUAGAUAUAUGGAAGAACACCAGUGGCGAAGGCGGCUUACUGGACUGCAACUGACGUUGAGGCUCGAAAGUGUGGGUAGCAAACAGGAUUAGAUACCCUGGUAGUCCACACCGUAAACGAUGAACACUAGGUGUUAGGAGGUUUCCGCCUCUUAGUGCCGAAGCUAACGCAUUAAGUGUUCCGCCUGGGGAGUACGACCGCAAGGUUGAAACUCAAAGGAAUUGACGGGGACCCGCACAAGCGGUGGAGCAUGUGGUUUAAUUCGAAGCAACGCGAAGAACCUUACCAGGUCUUGACAUCCUUUGAAGCUUUUAGAGAUAGAAGUGUUCUCUUCGGAGACAAAGUGACAGGUGGUGCAUGGUCGUCGUCAGCUCGUGUCGUGAGAUGUUGGGUUAAGUCCCGCAACGAGCGCAACCCUUAUUGUUAGUUGCCAGCAUUCAGAUGGGCACUCUAGCGAGACUGCCGGUGACAAACCGGAGGAAGGCGGGGACGACGUCAGAUCAUCAUGCCCCUUAUGACCUGGGCUACACACGUGCUACAAUGGCGUAUACAACGAGUUGCCAACCCGCGAGGGUGAGCUAAUCUCUUAAAGUACGUCUCAGUUCGGAUUGUAGUCUGCAACUCGACUACAUGAAGUCGGAAUCGCUAGUAAUCGCGGAUCAGCAC